GCCACGGUGGUCUAGCGGUUAGAACGCUGGCCUUGUAAUCCUGGGGUCUCGGGUUCGGUUCCCGGCGGUGCCC
Molecule: non-coding RNA, 73 nt
Organism: Zootermopsis nevadensis
Lineage: Eukaryota; Metazoa; Arthropoda; Insecta; Blattodea; Termopsidae
Source: Rfam